RNAcentral lists this non-coding RNA (26 nucleotides) under Carassius auratus (goldfish). RNAcentral also lists the same sequence under 2 other names. The record is from RNAcentral. Lineage: Eukaryota; Metazoa; Chordata; Actinopteri; Cypriniformes; Cyprinidae.
ACAACUCUUAGCGGUGGAUCACUCGG